Molecule: long non-coding RNA, 1273 nt
Organism: Astatotilapia calliptera (eastern happy)
Lineage: Eukaryota; Metazoa; Chordata; Actinopteri; Cichliformes; Cichlidae
Source: Ensembl
CAAUCAUCCAGCGACGAGAGGAUCUGUGUUCCAGCCUCAAAUAGUGCUCCCGGUGAUGAUGGACUGCUGUGCCCCUCUGCUCAUAUAAAAACCUCCUGAACGACUGCAGAUAGAACCACUCCUUACAGCUAACUGAAGGUCACAGACCUUCCACCUGAGCAGUUUCAGGACAAACAAAGCAGUGAAGGUGGAAAAGUUUGACAUUUUUAAAAGACUUUUUAAAGAUGAAGUUGGUGCCCUGCCUCAUGCUGUAUGUCCUGCUGGCAGCUGGAACCAGUCUGGCUGUGGAUGUGAAUUGGUUAACUCGUAUUAUAAAAGCCAUAAGGACAGAGUACAGAGUAACAGGUCACUUCUGUCUGGCUGCAACCAUCCCAGAUCAACAGGACCCAAACACCCUUAUCAGUGAAGUCCUUCAUAAAGACCGCUUUAAUAAUGAGCACAUGGGAGACUUAGUUAAAGGGGGUGAGGUAUAUGUUGGCAGAAGGCUGGUUUUAGCUGUUCCCACAGGACCUGUACAUGCAGAAGGCAAAGUUCUGAAAAGCUUGGACAAACUAAAGAAACAGGGAGAGAACAACUUCCUCCUCAUCUACUCUUACCUCUCCCCAUGUAGCAAGUGCACAGACUAUAACAGUAAAUUCAACAUCCUUAACAUGAUUAAAAAACAGGUUGACAGAUGGCAUAAUGCGGCCUUUGUAUUUACAAAAGUUUUCAACAAGCCCAAAUAUGGUUCCAGAGUACCCAGAUAUGUUUUAAAAAUGUCACUGACUCAGCUUUCUAAUUCGAUGGGUGGUCUCCAGUACAUAUUUCGCUGUAAUGGACCGAGCAAUUCUGAGUUAGUGUGUCACAGCUGCUCUGUAAAUCACAGAGUUUCAGAGUUUUGUAUUAAUAACAACGCUGAGAGAGAGCGCAGCAUCAGCAGGGAAAGAAGCAGGAGCUUCAGUGGAAGCAGAGGAGGGGGCAGUAGCAGGAAGAGAGAGAUGUACAGGAGUCAGAGUGAGAGCAGCAUCAGCAGCGGAAACAGUAGAGAAGCUGGAAAACAUGCAGGUGGAGGCAGGAGCAGCAGGAAGAGAAGCAGGAGCAGCAGCAGCAGCAGCAGCAGCAGCAGCAGCAGCAGUAGCAGCAGCAGCAGCAGCAGCAGCAGCAGCAGUAGUAGCAGCAGAGGUUAGAGGAGUUCAAACAAAGCAACAUGGUCCCUGAAGACAAACUUUCUUUAAAUUUCUGUUCAAACUAAAAUGAUAAAUAAAUGUUUUUUCUGAAAAAGCUUCAAAUCUGC